This 254-nucleotide ribosomal RNA is filed under the name uncultured bacterium. Its description in RNAcentral is "partial 16S ribosomal RNA". It matches the Rfam family "Bacterial small subunit ribosomal RNA", at positions 524 to 776 of the family's 1533-position model. The record is from RNAcentral.
CACGUAGGCACCAAGCGUUGUCCGGAUUUAUUGGGCGUAAAGAGCUCGUAGGCGGUUCAGUAAGUCGGGUGUGAAAACUUUGGGCUUAACCCAAAGCGUGCAUCCGAUACUGCUGUGACUUGAGUACGGUAGGGGAGCGGGGAAUUCCUAGUGUAGCGGUGAAAUGCGCAGAUAUUAGGAGGAACACCGGUGGCGAAGGCGGCAUCCUGGACCGGCAUUGACGCUGAGGAGCGAAAGCCAGGGGAGCAAACGGG